This 1178-nucleotide ribosomal RNA is filed under the name Bacillus sp. (in: firmicutes). RNAcentral describes it as "bacterial SSU rRNA". It matches the Rfam family "Bacterial small subunit ribosomal RNA", at positions 49 to 1211 of the family's 1533-position model. Lineage: Bacteria; Bacillati; Bacillota; Bacilli; Caryophanales; Bacillaceae. The record is from RNAcentral.
UAAUACAUGCAAGUCGAGCGGACAGAAGGGAGCUUGCUCCCGGAUGUUAGCGGCGGACGGGUGAGUAACACGUGGGUAACCUGCCUGUAAGACUGGGAUAACUCCGGGAAACCGGAGCUAAUACCGGAUAGUUCCUUGAACCGCAUGGUUCAAGGAUGAAAGACGGUUUCGGCUGUCACUUACAGAUGGACCCGCGGCGCAUUAGCUAGUUGGUGAGGUAACGGCUCACCAAGGCGACGAUGCGUAGCCGACCUGAGAGGGUGAUCGGCCACACUGGGACUGAGACACGGCCCAGACUCCUACGGGAGGCAGCAGUAGGGAAUCUUCCGCAAUGGACGAAAGUCUGACGGAGCAACGCCGCGUGAGUGAUGAAGGUUUUCGGAUCGUAAAGCUCUGUUGUUAGGGAAGAACAAGUGCAAGAGUAACUGCUUGCACCUUGACGGUACCUAACCAGAAAGCCACGGCUAACUACGUGCCAGCAGCCGCGGUAAUACGUAGGUGGCAAGCGUUGUCCGGAAUUAUUGGGCGUAAAGGGCUCGCAGGCGGUUUCUUAAGUCUGAUGUGAAAGCCCCCGGCUCAACCGGGGAGGGUCAUUGGAAACUGGGAAACUUGAGUGCAGAAGAGGAGAGUGGAAUUCCACGUGUAGCGGUGAAAUGCGUAGAGAUGUGGAGGAACACCAGUGGCGAAGGCGACUCUCUGGUCUGUAACUGACGCUGAGGAGCGAAAGCGUGGGGAGCGAACAGGAUUAGAUACCCUGGUAGUCCACGCCGUAAACGAUGAGUGCUAAGUGUUAGGGGGUUUCCGCCCCUUAGUGCUGCAGCUAACGCAUUAAGCACUCCGCCUGGGGAGUACGGUCGCAAGACUGAAACUCAAAGGAAUUGACGGGGGCCCGCACAAGCGGUGGAGCAUGUGGUUUAAUUGGAAGCAACGCGAAGAACCUUACCAGGUCUUGACAUCCUCUGACAACCCUAGAGAUAGGGCUUUCCCUUCGGGGACAGAGUGACAGGUGGUGCAUGGUUGUCGUCAGCUCGUGUCGUGAGAUGUUGGGUUAAGUCCCGCAACGAGCGCAACCCUUGAUCUUAGUUGCCAGCAUUUAGUUGGGCACUCUAAGGUGACUGCCGGUGACAAACCGGAGGAAGGUGGGGAUGACGUCAAAUCAUCAUGCCCCUUAUGACCUG